GUAUGGUGCAAGCGUUAUCCGGAUUUACUGGGUGUAAAGGGAGCGCAGGCGGUACGACAAGUCUGAUGUGAAAUCCCGGGGCUCAACCCCGGUACUGCAUUGGAAACUGUCGGACUAGAGUGUCGGAGGGGUAAGUGGAAUUCCUAGUGUAGCGGUGAAAUGCGUAGAUAUUAGGAGGAACACCAGUGGCGAAGGCGGCUUACUGGACGAUUACUGACGCUGAGGCUCGAAAGCGUGGGGAGCAAACAGGAUUAGAUACCCUGGUAGUCCACGCCGUAAACGAUGGAUGCCCGCUGUUGGUCUGAAUAGGUCAGCGGCCAAGCGAAAGCAUUAAGCAUCCCACCUGGGGAGUACGCCGGCAACGGUGAAACUCAAAGGAAUUGACGG
Molecule: ribosomal RNA, 387 nt
Filed under: uncultured bacterium
Lineage: Bacteria
Description: bacterial SSU rRNA
Rfam family: Bacterial small subunit ribosomal RNA
Source: RNAcentral